AUUGAACGCUGGCGGCAUGCCUUACACAUGCAAGUCGAACGGCAGCACGGAGCUUGCUCUGGUGGCGAGUGGCGAACGGGUGAGUAAUGUAUCGGAACGUACCCUAGAGUGGGGGAUAACGUAGCGAAAGUUACGCUAAUACCGCAUACGAUCUAAGGAUGAAAGUGGGGGAUCGCAAGACCUCAUGCUCGUGGAGCGGCCGAUAUCUGAUUAGCUAGUUGGUAGGGUAAAAGCCUACCAAGGCGUCGAUCAGUAGCUGGUCUGAGAGGACGACCAGCCACACUGGAACUGAGACACGGUCCAGACUCCUACGGGAGGCAGCAGUGGGGAAUUUUGGACAAUGGGCGAAAGCCUGAUCCAGCAAUGCCGCGUGAGUGAAGAAGGCCUUCGGGUUGUAAAGCUCUUUUGUCAGGGAAGAAACGGUGAGAGCUAAUAUCUCUUGCUAAUGACGGUACCUGAAGAAUAAGCACCGGCUAACUACGUGCCAGCAGCCGCGGUAAUACGUAGGGUGCAAGCGUUAAUCGGAAUUACUGGGCGUAAAGCGUGCGCAGGCGGUUUUGUAAGUCUGAUGUGAAAUCCCCGGGCUCAACCUGGGAAUUGCAUUGGAGACUGCAAGGCUAGAAUCUGGCAGAGGGGGGUAGAAUUCCACGUGUAGCAGUGAAAUGCGUAGAUAUGUGGAGGAACACCGAUGGCGAAGGCAGCCCCCUGGGUCAAGAUUGACGCUCAUGCACGAAAGCGUGGGGAGCAAACAGGAUUAGAUACCCUGGUAGUCCACGCCCUAAACGAUGUCUACUAGUUGUCGGGUCUUAAUUGACUUGGUAACGCAGCUAACGCGUGAAGUAGACCGCCUGGGGAGUACGGUCGCAAGAUUAAAACUCAAAGGAAUUGACGGGGACCCGCACAAGCGGUGGAUGAUGUGGAUUAAUUCGAUGCAACGCGAAAAACCUUACCUACCCUUGACAUGGCUGGAAUCCUUGAGAGAUCAGGGAGUGCUCGAAAGAGAACCAGUACACAGGUGCUGCAUGGCUGUCGUCAGCUCGUGUCGUGAGAUGUUGGGUUAAGUCCCGCAACGAGCGCAACCCUUGUCAUUAGUUGCUACGAAAGGGCACUCUAAUGAGACUGCCGGUGACAAACCGGAGGAAGGUGGGGAUGACGUCAAGUCCUCAUGGCCCUUAUGGGUAGGGCUUCACACGUCAUACAAUGGUACAUACAGAGCGCCGCCAACCCGCGAGGGGGAGCUAAUCGCAGAAAGUGUGUCGUAGUCCGGAUUGUAGUCUGCAACUCGACUGCAUGAAGUUGGAAUCGCUAGUAAUCGCGGAUCAGCAUGUCGCGGUGAAUACGUUCCCGGGUCU
This 1352-nucleotide ribosomal RNA is filed under the name uncultured bacterium. Its description in RNAcentral is "bacterial SSU rRNA". It matches the Rfam family "Bacterial small subunit ribosomal RNA", at positions 28 to 1381 of the family's 1533-position model. The record is from RNAcentral.